Molecule: long non-coding RNA, 888 nt
Filed under: Fukomys damarensis (Damara mole-rat)
Lineage: Eukaryota; Metazoa; Chordata; Mammalia; Rodentia; Bathyergidae
Description: lncRNA (ENSFDAG00000029220.1)
Source: RNAcentral
CACAAACCCUUGCUGAGCACUGACUGUAUGUCUGUUCCUCUUCUGUCCUAACGGUUGUCCCCUGAGGUCACUUACUGAAGGCAUUUCAUUCAGCCGUUCAUCCGUUCUGUAUACACCGUGCGUCUAUGGUGUGCAGGUGCUGGACUAGCAUCGGAGGUGCAAAGGCAGCCUCAGACCCCAUUGGGAAAAGGGUCACCCUCCUGAGCAAUCAGCUGCCACCUCAAGCAGACCUCAAGCUUCCUUCUCUUCCCUCCUCCCUGUUGGCCCACCUGCCUCUCCUUCUGCCUGCAGCAGAGAGUCAGGAGCCUGGUGUGCAGGAACCAAGGACAGAGACUGCCUUCCCUUCUGAAUGCCCAGGCGUAGGGCUCCCUGCACAGCUGGGUGCAAUGUGGGUUCCAGGCUGUGGGCACAUGCAAGAGAGGGGUCAGCCAGUCCCAGGCGGCUGCUUGGGCCACCUGCCCCAUGUGGCCCUUGGCUGGACUACACCACCUGUUGGGUGUGCAGGGCCUGGGGAAUGUGGGUGUGCCAACCAGUGAGCUAUCCCAGAUGGAGGGACAGAGUGACAGGUGUGGCGCUGGCCUAGAGGGCUGAGAAUUCAGCAUCUUGGACACAUUUGGGCCAGAGCCGGCUUACUCAGCUGAGACCCUUGGGGACUACAACACAAUAGAAUUCGGAAGAUUGAAAAGGAUGGAAUUGGGGGAGAGGCAAUGUGAAAGCACACUUGAUGGUGUUCGGGGGUUAGCUCAUGUGUCGUCCCUCACUGUCGAAGAGAGGGUGGUUCCGGUUCCAUAACCGGCUGCAGAUACCCAAAUCUGCAGAUGCUGCAGGCCCUUACAUAAAGUGACAUUGUAUUUGACUAGAACUGUGCAUAUCCUUCUCUCUCACCCU